GUUUCCCGGGUGACCGGGAAAGCUUGGUAAACCCCAUCCGGAGCAAGACCAAAUAGGGAAACGUUGAGGGCGGCCCGUCCGAAGUUUCCGGGUAGGUUGCUUGAGGCAGCAGGCAACUGCUGUCCCAGAUGAAUGAUCAUCGCUCUUUCGGGGUAACCGGGAAGAGAGACAGAACUCGGCUUACAGAUCUACUCUGACG
This 199-nucleotide RNase P RNA is filed under the name Syntrophobacterales bacterium. Its description in RNAcentral is "partial RNase P RNA component class A". It matches the Rfam family "Bacterial RNase P class A", at positions 180 to 367 of the family's 367-position model. From Rfam's summary of the family: Ribonuclease P (RNase P) is a ubiquitous endoribonuclease, found in archaea, bacteria and eukarya as well as chloroplasts and mitochondria. Lineage: Bacteria; Pseudomonadati; Thermodesulfobacteriota; Syntrophobacteria; Syntrophobacterales. The record is from RNAcentral.